CGAUUCCCUUAGUAGCGGCGAGCGAAACGGGAAGAGCCCAAACCAACAAGCUUGCUUGUUGGGGUUGUAGGACACUCUAUACGGAGUUACAAAGGACGACAUUAGACGAAUCAUCUGGAAAGAUGAAUCAAAGAAGGUAAUAAUCCUGUAGUCGAAAAUGUUGUCUCUCUUGAGUGGAUCCUGAGUACGACGGAGCACGUGAAAUUCCGUCGGAAUCUGGGAGGACCAUCUCCUAAGGCUAAAUACUCUCUAGUGACCGAUAGUGAACCAGUACCGUGAGGGAAAGGUGAAAAGCACCCCGGAAGGGGAGUGAAAUAGAACCUGAAACCGUGUGCUUACAAGUAGUCAGAGCCCGUUAAUGGGUGAUGGCGUGCCUUUUGUAGAAUGAACCGGCGAGUUACGAUUUGAUGCAAGGUUAAGCAGUAAAUGUGGAGCCGUAGCGAAAGCGAGUCUGAAUAGGGCGUUUAGUAUUUGGUCGUAGACCCGAAACCAGGUGAUCUACCCUUGGUCAGGUUGAAGUUCAGGUAACACUGAAUGGAGGACCGAACCGACUUACGUUGAAAAGUGAGCGGAUGAACUGAGGGUAGCGGAGAAAUUCCAAUCGAACCUGGAGAUAGCUGGUUCUCUCCGAAAUAGCUUUAGGGCUAGCCUCAAGUGAUGAUUAUUGGAGGUAGAGCACUGUUUGGACGAGGGGCCCCUCUCGGGUUACCGAAUUCAGACAAACUCCGAAUGCCAAUUAAUUUAACUUGGGAGUCAGAACAUGGGUGAUAAGGUCCGUGUUCGAAAGGGAAACAGCCCAGACCACCAGCUAAGGUCCCAAAAUAUAUGUUAAGUGGAAAAGGAUGUGGCGUUGCCCAGACAACUAGGAUGUUGGCUUAGAAGCAGCCAUCAUUUAAAGAGUGCGUAAUAGCUCACUAGUCGAGUGACACUGCGCCGAAAAUGUACCGGGGCUAAACAUAUUACCGAAGCUGUGGAUUGUCCUUUGGACAAUGGUAGGAGAGCGUUCUAAGGGCGUUGAAGCAUGAUCGUAAGGACAUGUGGAGCGCUUAGAAGUGAGAAUGCCGGUGUGAGUAGCGAAAGACGGGUGAGAAUCCCGUCCACCGAUUGACUAAGGUUUCCAGAGGAAGGCUCGUCCGCUCUGGGUUAGUCGGGUCCUAAGCUGAGGCCGACAGGCGUAGGCGAUGGAUAACAGGUUGAUAUUCCUGUACCACCUAUAAUCGUUUUAAUCGAUGGGGGGACGCAGUAGGAUAGGCGAAGCGUGCGAUUGGAUUGCACGUCUAAGCAGUAAGGCUGAGUAUUAGGCAAAUCCGGUACUCGUUAAGGCUGAGCUGUGAUGGGGAGAAGACAUUGUGUCUUCGAGUCGUUGAUUUCACACUGCCGAGAAAAGCCUCUAGAUAGAAAAUAGGUGCCCGUACCGCAAACCGACACAGGUAGUCAAGAUGAGAAUUCUAAGGUGAGCGAGCGAACUCUCGUUAAGGAACUCGGCAAAAUGACCCCGUAACUUCGGGAGAAGGGGUGCUCUUUAGGGUUAACGCCCAGAAGAGCCGCAGUGAAUAGGCCCAAGCGACUGUUUAUCAAAAACACAGGUCUCUGCUAAACCGUAAGGUGAUGUAUAGGGGCUGACGCCUGCCCGGUGCUGGAAGGUUAAGAGGAGUGGUUAGCUUCUGCGAAGCUACGAAUCGAAGCCCCAGUAAACGGCGGCCGUAACUAUAACGGUCCUAAGGUAGCGAAAUUCCUUGUCGGGUAAGUUCCGACCCGCACGAAAGGCGUAACGAUUUGGGCACUGUCUCAACGAGAGACUCGGUGAAAUCAUAGUACCUGUGAAGAUGCAGGUUACCCGCGACAGGACGGAAAGACCCCGUGGAGCUUUACUGUAGCCUGAUAUUGAAAUUCGGCACAGCUUGUACAGGAUAGGUAGGAGCCUUUGAAACGUGAGCGCUAGCUUACGUGGAGGCGCUGGUGGGAUACUACCCUAGCUGUGUUGGCUUUCUAACCCGCACCACUUAUCGUGGUGGGAGACAGUGUCAGGCGGGCAGUUUGACUGGGGCGGUCGCCUCCUAAAAGGUAACGGAGGCGCUCAAAGGUUCCCUCAGAAUGGUUGGAAAUCAUUCAUAGAGUGUAAAGGCAUAAGGGAGCUUGACUGCGAGACCUACAAGUCGAGCAGGGUCGAAAGACGGACUUAGUGAUCCGGUGGUUCCGCAUGGAAGGGCCAUCGCUCAACGGAUAAAAGCUACCCCGGGGAUAACAGGCUUAUCUCCCCCAAGAGUUCACAUCGACGGGGAGGUUUGGCACCUCGAUGUCGGCUCAUCGCAUCCUGGGGCUGUAGUCGGUCCCAAGGGUUGGGCUGUUCGCCCAUUAAAGCGGUACGCGAGCUGGGUUCAGAACGUCGUGAGACAGUUCGGUCCCUAUCCGUCGUGGGCGUAGGAAAUUUGAGAGGAGCUGUCCUUAGUACGAGAGGACCGGGAUGGACAUACCUCUGGUGUACCAGUUGUCGUGCCAACGGCAUAGCUGGGUAGCUAUGUGUGGACGGGAUAAGUGCUGAAAGCAUCUAAGCAUGAAGCCCCCCUCAAGAUGAGAUUUCCCAACUUCGGUUAUAAGAUCCCUCAAAGAUGAUGAGGUUAAUAGGUUCGAGGUGGAAGCAUGGUGACAUGUGGAGCUGACGAAUACUAAUCGAUCGAAGACUUAAUCAA
Molecule: ribosomal RNA, 2690 nt
Filed under: Staphylococcus aureus
Lineage: Bacteria; Bacillati; Bacillota; Bacilli; Caryophanales; Staphylococcaceae
Also listed under: 1 other name
Description: partial 23S ribosomal RNA
Rfam family: Bacterial large subunit ribosomal RNA
Source: RNAcentral